GACGUAGGGGGCUAGCGUUGUCCGGAAUCAUUGGGCGUAAAGAGCGUGUAGGCGGCCCGGUAAGUCCGUUGUGAAAGUCGAAGGCUCAACCGUCGAAUGCCGAUGGAUACUGCCGGGCUAGAGUCCGGAAGAGGCGAGUGGAAUUCCUGGUGUAGCGGUGGAAUGCGCAGAUAUCAGGAGGAACACCGAUAGCGAAGGCAGCUCGCUGGGACGGUACUGACGCUGAGACGCGAAAGCGUGGGGAGCAAACAGG
Molecule: ribosomal RNA, 253 nt
Filed under: uncultured bacterium
Lineage: Bacteria
Description: partial 16S ribosomal RNA
Rfam family: Bacterial small subunit ribosomal RNA
Source: RNAcentral